CCCUACGGGACGCAGCAGUGGGGAAUAUUGCACAAUGGGGGAAACCCUGAUGCAGCGACGCCGCGUGAGUGAAGAAGUACCCCGGUACGUAAAGCUCUAUCAGCAGGGAAGAAAAUGACGGUACCUGACCAAGAAGCCCCGGCUAACUACGUGCCAGCAGCCGCGGUAAUACGUAGGGGGCAAGCGUUAUCCGGAUUUACUGGGUGUAAAGGGAGCGUAGACGGCAGCGCAAGUCUGGAGUGAAAUCCCGGGGCUCACCCCCGGAACUGCUUUGGAAACUGCGCGGCGCGAGUGCAGGAGGGGCG
This 305-nucleotide ribosomal RNA is filed under the name uncultured bacterium. RNAcentral describes it as "bacterial SSU rRNA". It matches the Rfam family "Bacterial small subunit ribosomal RNA", at positions 337 to 659 of the family's 1533-position model. The record is from RNAcentral.